CAGUGUUCCCCAGAACAAAGUCUUUCCCUAUUAUCUGACUGAGAUUUGAAAGUAAGACUUUAAUAAUUCAAGGCUUCAAAGGCUGGGGUUAGUAGAGGAUGAGAGGUAUCCCUAAUUUCCUAAUCUCAAGGUCCUUCUUUCUGGUAGACCACAAAGGUCAAACCAUGAAUUCUCCUUCCCUUCCCAAGCUAACUUAACCUAAAUUAGGGUAUUAAGGAAAUCAGGACAGGAAUAAGGUAGGUGGUGAAGGUUUUUGAGGGGUACCUGAUCAAAGGCCUUUGAGUACUGCUCCCUCAGGUCCAAUAGGACCUGAAACUCUCUUCUGAAAUUGGUGAAGAUGUCAAGAAACAAUGAAUCUUUUGCUGAGAAGCUCCACAGCUGGUCCUCUGGGCUAAUCUCUGAACUGACUUUUGAAUGAUCUCAAGCAAGGUAACAAUAUCUAUUGCCACCCGGAGAUCUCAGGUCCAAAAGCCACUCUUCUUCUGGGGAUCUCCCCCAGGCCCCAUUGGUUCUUUCCCAGGCUCUUUUGCUCCCAACUCCUACGAUCCACUUCUGUCAGUUGAAACUGUCUCAACAUUCCAAACCUCCUGCUCUUAUACUAGGUAUCCUGCUACUUAUUGGGAAUGUAAAAACAAAAAUGAAGCAAUUUCAUCCUUCAAAAACCUUAUAGGGGGAUGGAGUCAAGAUAACCACUUAGAAGCAGCAAAAGUCAAGACCACUUUGAAAACCCUUCCACAUCAAUCAAAAACAAAGUGCUUUGAAGGGACAGAAAAACAAAUCUAACAACAGGACAGAGCCUGGAGACCCUCUUGCUGAAUUCAACUUAAAAGGGAUGCAGAGAAGGCUGAAUUCUUAGUUUAAGGAAAAGGAAAAAUAAAGGUUACAGGAUCCCUGCAGGCAUCAUUUACUGUGCUGAUCCUCCAGAGGUCACUGGAAUCUUGGGGCAAAAACUCCAGUGUGGAUGGAGCACCUUGCCGGGACACCUGCGGCAAGCUCAACUACAACUGACAGGGAGGUAGUUGUGGGAGAGGAGCAGAGGGGAGGGCAACCUAGUCAGAGCCACUACUCUCCAUCUUGGCUUCCAGUUCUCAAAGUUUUGACCUCAGGGCACAUCUAGCUCUGCAGAUCAGCUACUCCCCAGCUCAAUCUAGUCUAUCAAUUGGGCAGGAAAGAAGCCUUCAGAGGACAGGGAAGUUCAAUCUCCAACACAUUUCCUCUACAUAUUGCACUGAGAGCCUCACUAAGAAUCCAGCUGACUUAGAUUCCAGGGCAAAGGCUGCAACUGAGACAGAAUACCUUUAUAAAAGGGCAGGAAGCCCAAUUCCCUUCAGCCUUGACACUUUUAUCUUCAUAUUCAGCUACUGAAACAGAGGCACAUGAACUAAAUCAAGAAAAUAGUGAGUUGACACAGGCUUUGGAAGAACUCAAAACACAAUUCAAAAAACAAUUAAGAGAGACUGAAGACAGAUGGGAAAAGAACUUAAAAAGCAAAGUAAGUCAUCUGGAAAAAGAGGCACAUGAACUAAAACAAGAAAAUAGUGUCUUGAAAACCAAAAUUGACCAGCUUGAAAACAAGGCCAAGAAAGUGAAAGAUGACCUACAAAGAAAAGCAGACCAGAAGGUAAAACUGGAGAUUGAAAGAAUCCAUAGAUCACCUGCUGCAUUUAAUUCCCAAUUGACAAUGGCCAUGAAUGUUAUAGCCAAGUUCAAGAAUGACCAGAUCAAGGAAAAGAUAAUAUAAGUUGAGAAGAAGAAGAAGCUAUUCAGAUAUCAUGGAACCACAGUUAGGAUAACACAGGACCUGGCUGCAUCCACACUGAAGGACCAUAAGACAUGGAAUUCAUGUUCUGGAAAGCAAAAGAACUGGAUCUACAACCAAGAAUCAACUACCCAGCAAAACUGACCAUAUUCUUACAGGGGAAGGUAUGGUCAUUUAACAAAAUAGAAGACUUCCAAGAAUUCCUAAAGAAAAGACCUGACUUAAACACUAAAUUUGAACCCCUAACACAGAACUCAAGAGAUUCAUUAAAAGUGGAAGACUACAUAAGUCAUGGAGAGGAUACAGUCGAUAUUACUGGAGGGAUGACCUACAUUGAAGAAAUUAUGGUGCUUGAAAUUCUCAACCUUGCCUGCCAGAGCUAUGGUAUUUGCCUGCCCUUUCCUGUUUUGGAUGACAUCUCUGGACCUGUCCUUUUGCCUGCUGACUAGCCUGUGGAAUCUUCUGGACCCUUCUAGCAUGAUUUGGUGCAGUGGUUCCAAAUGCAUUGGCUGAAAAAAAAAUAUGGCCCCUGGGUGGGGCACAUAGUUAAAGCAGGGGCCUAUGAAUCCAUCCAUAUGUGGACCUAACAUCAUUUUCUAUCUUUAUUUAGCUACAACAAAAUAUGCUUACUAAUAUAAAUAAGCAAAUGUAUCUUAUAUAGACUAAAUUUAAAGUGUAUUGCAAACAUAUAGAAAGAGCUAUUUUUCAAAUAUAUGUAGGUAAUAUUGUGAUGAAUAAAAAAUUCAUUUAAAAGUGUUAAUACAUGCAUAGCAGCUUUUUAUAAUAUGCUUUUUCAAUUAUAUGGUAAUGGCACAAUUACAAUCAUCUGGGAUAAAAACUCCGAAUUAAUUUGAUAUUACAAGGGGUUUCAAACUCCAAUAGUUUGGAAACCAAAGGGGUAGGGAAAGAACACUAUGUUUGGUGUCAGAAAUUCUGUGUCUAAAUCCUGUUUCAUGUCUGGGACUUAUGUGACUGCUUUGUAGUAGGGUUCUUCAUCUGCAAAAUGAGCAUUUUGGAUUAGGUGAUCUCUGCUCCCUUCUUGUUCUAAAUACUAUGAGAUUCUAUUUCAAACUUUUUUUUUUCUUUGUAGUCCUUCCCCAUUAUUCCCUUUCUUCUUCUUCUAAGCUGAAGAUUUUGCUUUGUAUGUCAAUGCAGAAAAUUAAGGUUAGAAUUUGAACCAAAAACUUCCACCUCCAAAUAAAGUAAUGAUUGCUUAGAGCUCUCCCCCACUCCUCUUCCCUUCAUUUCAAAUUCCUCUGUCUCAAUUCCCCAGUUAUCUCCUGUUUCACUUCAGUUUCUGAUAAAUAGGUUGAUAUACUUGCCAUGACCAUCCCUACUACUUGAACCACUAAG
Monodelphis domestica (gray short-tailed opossum) is the source of this 3112-nucleotide non-coding RNA. The record is from RefSeq and is a predicted model, not a curated record. NCBI's taxonomy places the organism in Eukaryota, Metazoa, Chordata, Mammalia, Didelphimorphia, Didelphidae.